Molecule: ribosomal RNA, 465 nt
Filed under: Vreelandella stevensii
Lineage: Bacteria; Pseudomonadati; Pseudomonadota; Gammaproteobacteria; Oceanospirillales; Halomonadaceae
Description: partial 16S ribosomal RNA
Rfam family: Bacterial small subunit ribosomal RNA
Source: RNAcentral
CGUACGGGGGGCAGCAGUGGGGAAUAUUGGACAAUGGGGGCAACCCUGAUCCAGCCAUGCCGCGUGUGUGAAGAAGGCCCUCGGGUUGUAAAGCACUUUCAGUGAGGAAGAACGCCUGGUGGUUAAUACCCAUCAGGAAAGACAUCACUCACAGAAGAAGCACCGGCUAACUCCGUGCCAGCAGCCGCGGUAAUACGGAGGGUGCGAGCGUUAAUCGGAAUUACUGGGCGUAAAGCGCGCGUAGGCGGCUUGAUAAGCCGGUUGUGAAAGCCCCGGGCUCAACCUGGGAACGGCAUCCGGAACUGUCAAGCUAGAGUGCAGGAGAGGAAGGUAGAAUUCCCGGUGUAGCGGUGAAAUGCGUAGAGAUCGGGAGGAAUACCAGUGGCGAAGGCGGCCUUCUGGACUGACACUGACACUGAGGUGCGAAAGCGUGGGUAGCAAACAGGAUUAGCUACACCUGUAGUC